RNAcentral lists this transfer RNA (72 nucleotides) under Camelus bactrianus (Bactrian camel). It matches the Rfam family "tRNA". From Rfam's summary of the family: Transfer RNA (tRNA) molecules are approximately 80 nucleotides in length. Their secondary structure includes four short double-helical elements and three loops (D, anti-codon, and T loops). RNAcentral also lists the same sequence under 2 other names. Lineage: Eukaryota; Metazoa; Chordata; Mammalia; Artiodactyla; Camelidae. The record is from Rfam by way of RNAcentral.
GAGGAUAUAGCUCAGUGGUAGAGUGUGUGCUUAGCACACAUGACAUCCUGGGUUCAAUUCCAGGUACCUCCA